RNAcentral lists this ribosomal RNA (390 nucleotides) under Triticum aestivum (bread wheat). RNAcentral describes it as "partial small subunit ribosomal RNA". Lineage: Eukaryota; Viridiplantae; Streptophyta; Magnoliopsida; Poales; Poaceae. The record is from RNAcentral.
AUGCAGAUCCAAAAAAUUGGGUGUUUGGGAAGCUUCCGUAAUGCUAGUACUUCACAGAGGCAGGGUUUUGGUAUUGAUGUUGCUGUUUCAGCGUUGGAGCGCGCUGAGCGUAUUUUAAGUAAUGUGUGUUCUGAGCUGCAAAAGGUCCCAGCGACAGUUGAGCGUCUGAGCUGUAUCAAUGGUAUCCUUCCUGAAGGUCAUCAAUUUAAUGCUGAGGAAGGUAUUGACUACAUUGAGAUGGAGAGAAUUUUAAUUGGUGAUAUGUGUGACGGUGCCGCUGAUCUAGUUCAGAGCUCAGUUCGUCUGUUGAACAACAGGAAGCGUUUCAGAACUAUGCAAGACUCUCGCUGCAAGCCAUAUGAAGAAAGUGCAAAUGUUGUUAUCAAGUAG